Molecule: ribosomal RNA, 765 nt
Filed under: uncultured organism
Description: bacterial SSU rRNA
Rfam family: Bacterial small subunit ribosomal RNA
Source: RNAcentral
UGGCAGACGGGUGAGUAACACGUAGGUAACCUGCCCUCGAGACGGGGAUAACGGCUGGAGACGGUCGCUAAGACCCGAUAUAGUCUGACCUUCGGNGAGAAGGUGNAGAGGAAAGGCUUCGGUGCUCGGGGAGGGGCCUGCGGCCCAUCAGCUAGUUGGAGAGGUAACGGCUCCCCAAGGCAAUGACGGGUAGGGGGUGUGAGAGCAUGGCCCCCCACACUGGGACUGAGACACGGCCCAGACUCCUACGGGAGGCAGCAGCAGGGAAUAUUGCGCAAUGGACGGAAGUCUGACGCAGCGACGCCGCGUGGAUGACGAAGGCCUUCGGGUUGUAAAAUCCUUUUCCGGGCGAUGAGGAAGGACACUAGCCUGGGAAUAAGCGUCGGCUAACUACGUGCCAGCAGCCGCGGUAAGACGUAGGACGCGAGCGUUAUCCGGAUUUACUGGGCGUAAAGCGCCUGCAGGCGGUCAGGUAAGUCGGUUGUGAAAGCCCCGUGCUCAACGCGGGGAGGCCAAGCGAUACUGCGUGACUUGAGGGCGGAAGAGGGGAGUGGAAUUCCCGGUGUAGCGGUAAAAUGCGCAGAUAUCGGGAGGGAACACCAGUGGCGAAGGCGUGUCCCUGGACCGCACCUGACGCUCAGAGGCGAAAGCUAGGGAGCGAACAGGAUUAGAGACCCUGGUAGUCCUAGCCCUAAACGCUGGAUGCUAGGUGUAGGGCUGAUGAGGCUCUGUGCCGGAGCGAACGCGAUAAGCAUCCCGCCUGGG